Molecule: small nucleolar RNA, 104 nt
Filed under: Pestalotiopsis fici W106-1
Lineage: Eukaryota; Fungi; Ascomycota; Sordariomycetes; Amphisphaeriales; Sporocadaceae
Description: Small nucleolar RNA Z13/snr52
Rfam family: Small nucleolar RNA Z13/snr52
About the family: Z13 or snr52 is a member of the C/D class of snoRNA which contain the C (UGAUGA) and D (CUGA) box motifs.
Source: Rfam by way of RNAcentral
GUGCUUGACAUGACGAAACAUUUCGGAUGUAAAAUUUUCUUUACAGAAUUGCGCAAACAAACCCCGUGUUGAUAUCUUCCGUUGCCUUCCUUCUGAUUCAAGCA